This 254-nucleotide ribosomal RNA is filed under the name uncultured bacterium. Its description in RNAcentral is "partial 16S ribosomal RNA". It matches the Rfam family "Bacterial small subunit ribosomal RNA", at positions 524 to 776 of the family's 1533-position model. The record is from RNAcentral.
UACGUAGGGUGCAAGCGUUGUCCGGAAUCAUUGGGCGUAAAGCGCGCGUAGGUGGUCAUGUAAGUCCGCUGUGAAAGUCAAAGGCUCAACCUUUGAAAGCCGGUGGAUACUGCAUGACUAGAGUACGGAAGAGGCGAGUGGAAUUCCUGGUGUAGCGGUGGAAUGCGCAGAUAUCAGGAGGAACACCAAUAGCGAAGGCAGCUCGCUGGGACGUUACUGACACUGAGGCGCGAAAGCGUGGGGGAGCGAACAGG